AGCAACCCAGUGCUGUCCUGGCUCUUCAGUCUCUGCAGUCUCUGUGGACCGGCAGCCCCUUGCUUCAGAUUCCAAGCCCAUGACACUGGAUGUAGGGGAGGAACUUUAUCUCUGCAUCCAAUAUAACCCAGCUUAUGAGAAGGAUUUGAACAGCCGUGUGGCAGAGAGGGUUCUCAGGAUGCACUUCAUGGAUCAUCCUCGUGAGGAGCAGAUCACUGUUCGGGGAGAAGUGUACUUCCCAAAUCUCCAUCUCCAGACCAAGGCCAUGGACUUUGGCUACAUCAUGAAUGACACUGAAAAAGUGCUGAAUGUGGAGAUGACCAACUGCAGCCCAAUUCCUGCCCAGUACCACUGGUCAUUCCAGACAGACAGCCAGGUGAACACUGUAAGCUUUACCUUCUCCUUCCGUGCCCCGUGGUGACCUGCUGCAGAAUCCCAUUUGGAGGGCUGGGGCUUCGCUGCCUGCCCGGGAUGUGUCGCAUCAGCGCAGGCCAGUGGAGACACCUUCUGGGGUUCGGCAGAAGUGGCUCAGACGAGCAGGAAUAUUUCCUCUUAGGUGAGGGCUUCAGAACCUGCUCCAUCAUUUCACCUCCGUCCUUUCCUCACCCUGUUCUUGGCCCCAUGGAAGGACAGCAAUGCUGGCAGGCAGAGAACCCACCAGCCAUGCUGUGAGCUUGUCUACAGAGUUCAGCUUUUGGGAUCCAGCUUCCCUCUCCUGCAGCCUUUGCCCUAAGAAGAGGACUGACUGAGAAUCUCUCUUUCCAUGGCUGGAAGCCUGUCAGAUCUAGCCAGGAGCAGCCUGCUGCUCUCAGGUGACUAUGUGGGUUGACUCUCAGUGGGUUGGCUUCCCACUGAUUCCUACUUGCAGCCAUAGUCCUUGUGUUUUCAAGCUCUCAGCACUGGCCCCCAUGAAGACAUCGUAAAAUGGUGAAUAUCCAGAUCCUGGCCACAGAGACAACUAGAACACAUCUCUCCUCCUUUGCUCUCCAUUAGAGGAGUCAAUAGUCAUCUGUUUGCAGAGCUGAUUUUUGAAGUAGCUGCUAAGAUUGUACUUGGUGCAGAUUCCUUUAAAUAGCACCUCCAAAUUACAGCUGUCCGGGCUUAUUUAAUUUUGAACAAAGACUACAAAUUGUAUUUAUGUUAGAGCUGCUGAUUUGUUCAGAAGGACCUUUGUCUCCAGUCUGAUGGAGAAGCAUUUUUCUGUCUCACAGAGAAUCAGGAGCUCACCUGAUGCUUAUAAAUCCCCUGUUGUGCAAAGCAUGAGGAAGGAAAAGAUUUAAUGGCUUCUGUCAUCUGUACAAUCAGUGCAAGUCAGAAUAACCACCGUGAGAGACUACUUCCAGGGUCACAACUUGUCAAGAGAGGAAAGUACAGCUGCCUAAGGAUGAUCUGUACAAGGACCUGCUGUGCCAGCCUGCAGUGCUGAUUGUGGCUGGCUCUGGUCCAGCUCACCUCGGACCAAGUGGCUGAGGAGCUUUAGCACCUCCACCCCAAAAAAUUGGAUGAGCUACACCCCAUAGGAAUAUUCUGAGAGAGGCAUGAGCCAUGUUGCAUGAAGCCUGAGGGGCCUCAGACCCUUCUCUGACUUUUCUUCUUGAAAGUCAUGUACAGUUGUGGUCUGUGGGUUUCAGCAGGAGCUAAGGACAGUGAACUCAAAAAUCAAAUCUUGCAAAAAUCCUUGAGCUGCCAAUGGCUUGUUCCAAAGUACCCUUUUAAUCUGCAUCUGAUUGCCUGGAGGAGAAACUCAAAGUGCAUCAUGUGAGGCCAUUUAAAUACCUCCUGGGUGUGUGGCCUCUGGUGCUUUGUCCUGGGAUCACCUGGAAAGAGGUGGUGCUUUGUUGGGAGGCUGGUUUUCACACAGUGCCCUGGCUGUGCCUAUUGGGUGGUCCCUGGGUGGCCAAGCUGUGUGAUGCUGUGCUCUGGGGAAGCAGUAUCUGGCACUGUUGUGUGUCCAGGAGUUGGCCGUGAUGAUCCUUGUGGGUCCUUUCCAACUCAGGCUGUUCCAUCAAACUCUUGUAUUUAAUGUGGAAUGGGGGUGGUGGCAUCUGAUGCACAUCCUCUGUGCUGGCAGGGACCUCAGGCACUAUCAUUACUUCUCUGUCCUGAUGUUGGUGGCUCUUACAGAGCCUGAGCUGGCAGGGUCGUGUCAUCCCAUGUGACUCUUCACAUGUGGUUUGCAGAAGCAGUGUGAUUUCUAUCUGCUCUAUUUUGGGAGGUGGGUGUGGGAAGUGGUGUAAAACUGUGUCCCCAGCAGGCUCAGAAACCACCACACAGGCUGAGAUACUGGUUUUUUGGUAAUAUUUCAGAGGCUGGGACCAGUAGGUGUCAUAGGAUUGUCCUGGCCCUCAUAGGAAAAAUUCCUUUCUCCCUGGUGUCAAUCCACCUGUGCUCCCAUUAAAUUCCCACAUUAAUUCCUGGAUGCAUUUUGUCUUGUGUGAGGAGUGGCUGGGUUGGGUGAGAGUGACGCAGAGGAGCUGACGGUUUGUUGUCAGUCCUUCCAGCUCCAGGCUGACCUGCUUCUGUCAGGAGGCUUGGUCUCGGCUCCACAGUGCUGGCAGAAGCACUUCCACAGCCCUUUGGCCCCUCUCUUUUGGGAUGGGUACUCUGCAGGUGGAGGAGAUGCUCUCUGCUCCUUGCCUUCCUCCAUGCAUUCCCAGCCUUGGCCUGGAGUGUUUUCCUAUGAAGUGCGAGACAUCUCUGUUUCUGAGGAGGUUUCUUUUAAAACCAGCCCUAGGAGGUCACAGGACAUCCUAGAAACAAGUGGGACAUCCACAGCUUCCCUGGGCAGCUUGUGCCAGUGCCUCACCACCCCCACAGCGAAGAAUUUUUCCCUAGUAUCCAAACCUGCUCCCUUUCAGUUUGAAGCCUCCCCCCUUAUCCUGUCAGUACAUGCUCUUGUAAAUAGUCCUGCCCCAUCCUUCCUGUUACUCCUCUUCAGGUACUGGGAGGCUACAAUUAGGUCACCCCCAAAGCUUUCUCUUUUCCAGGCUCAACAAUCCCAGUUCUCUCAGCCUUUCCUCAUGGGAGAAGUACUUCAUCCUUCUGAUCAACUUGGUGGCCUCCUCUGGACUCGCUCCAGAGGUGAAGAAAUAUCUGCUGUGUCACAGCGUCAUGGGCAGAGAGACAGUAAAUACGCAGAUAAUGCAAGUGCUUUUCACCUGCGUGUUCAUUCCUCCCAGUGUGCAAAUGCAUUCCACAGAAAUCCCUUUCCCGGGGCGAAGGUGUCUCUGGGCUUGCACCCCGGCAUUUAACAGAGUGUCUGACGGCCGAGAGCCCGUGUGCUGCGUGUUCUUGUGCUCAAGCGAGCAAUCCCAGCCGCUCCUGAGGCGGCUGUGAGCCGGCCGGAGGCGGUGUCCCGUGUCCGCGGUGUCCGGCCCUGCCCGGCCGGGC
Molecule: long non-coding RNA, 3390 nt
Organism: Parus major (Great Tit)
Lineage: Eukaryota; Metazoa; Chordata; Aves; Passeriformes; Paridae
Exons: 3
Source: RefSeq, a predicted model, not a curated record